This is a long non-coding RNA of Carassius auratus (goldfish), 701 nucleotides long. RefSeq lists it as uncharacterized. The transcript is spliced from 3 exons. Lineage: Eukaryota; Metazoa; Chordata; Actinopteri; Cypriniformes; Cyprinidae. The record is from RefSeq and is a predicted model, not a curated record.
GAGACAAUGUUCUGCGAAAGAAAUGCACAUGCAUUGUUCCAAAAGAAGCCAUUUUACUGAUAAUUGUUUAUUGCUGGCAUACAAGAAAAUUUGAAGAGGAGGAUCAAGUAGUAGACUAUGUUUCUGUUAGCAUGAGAAGAACCUUCUGUGAUGAACUUUGAAUAUGUAUAAAUAUAUACUGUAAGAGAAAAUACAUGUCUAUAUAUAUUCACAACCUAAUACACUCAUGCCUUGAUACCAGUGCAAGUUUCAGUACUUAUUUCCAUCAAUAGUGGCACUAGUAGAACAGCUAUUCUUGUCUAUAUCACAUCCUCUUUUCAUAAAGAUCCCUUUCCUUUGUCUGACAAUGACUUAAAAUCAUUUUAAGAAUACAUUUGAUGAUUAUCGAUUCACUUUUGUAAUAGUAAUUGUAUCAUGUGAAUGUGCAGUGGUAAGUUUUCAUCAGUUUUGGGGAGUUACUAACAAAAAGGAGAAAUGCUGCCCAGACCUCAUUUCUUCUAUAUGUAUAGGACUUUCUUUUUUCAGAUGAAUACAGUCAUAAUUAUAUUAAACAUGUCCUAGCUCUUCCAAGCUUUAAAAUGGCAGUGGAUUGGGGUUGAGAUUUUGAAGACUGAGAUGCACACAACAUAUAUAUUGAUGAUAAUAUUAAUACAUUUUGACCUUUCUAGCGGUUGUAUAGAUUUAAUUGAUUCAUGGCUGCA